GACGAACGCUGGCGGCGUACUUAACACAUGCAAGUCGAACGGAAAGGCCCUGCUUUUGUGGGGUGCUCGAGUGGCGAACGGGUGAGUAACACGUGAGUAACCUGCCCUUGACUUUGGGAUAACUUCAGGAAACUGGGGCUAAUACCGGAUAGGAGCUCCUGCUGCAUGGUGGGGGUUGGAAAGUUUCGGCGGUUGGGGAUGGACUCGCGGCUUAUCAGCUUGUUGGUGGGGUAGUGGCUUACCAAGGCUUUGACGGGUAGCCGGCCUGAGAGGUGACCGGCCACAUUGGGACUGAGAUACGGCCCAGACUCCUACGGGAGGCAGCAGUGGGGAAUAUUGCACAAUGGGCGGAAGCCUGAUGCAGCAACGCCGCGUGCGGGAUGACGGCCUUCGGGUUGUAAACCGCUUUCGCCUGUGACGAAGCGUGAGUGACGGUAAUGGGUAAAGAAGCACCGGCUAACUACGUG
This 467-nucleotide ribosomal RNA is filed under the name uncultured bacterium. RNAcentral's name for it is "partial 16S ribosomal RNA". It matches the Rfam family "Bacterial small subunit ribosomal RNA", at positions 28 to 507 of the family's 1533-position model. The record is from RNAcentral.